GAUCAGCUGGUCACCUGACCGAUAGGAACGGUCAUUCAACGGCCUUGUAGGUCAUUGGCCCUUGGUGGGGCCAUGUGGGGGGACAUGUGGCUCCAUCAUCAUACGUCUUCGGUCGAAAUCAGAAUCACAUGGGGGUCUAAUCGAUUCGAGAUUGUAUUCCAUACAAUUAUCGAUAAGUGCCUUGACGCGGAGAUAAACAAGUUUUAUCUGAAAACUGAGGCAAGCGGUCGCAUUUGUCUCGGAUAAAUGAUUUGCUAAGGUGAAAGAGCAUCGCUUAAUGACAAAAAUGAAAUUAAUCCUUUCGAAGGGUUGACAAAAAUGCGAAACAAUUGCUACCGGCCGGCGUGUCAAAUUUAGACAAGUACAGCAGCUUUGCAGCCACGACGAGUGUUUUUGAACAAUACUCCUAGAAAGGCGUCGACGAUUCGCCCUGUCAAUUCUUGUGCGCCAGCAAAGGCUGAAGACGACGCGAGACUCCCUUUACGCAUAGGUAGGAGACUACAAAGUGCGCGCAUCAGGCCAGAUGUCGGUCGAGCGGCCGUCUUUAUGCCUGUCAAGUUGUACGUGGACGUCGACGAGAGCGACGGCCGGCGAAAAAGAGCAUCGCGAUACACUAGCGGAAGGAUGAUGGAUAUAUGAAAAGUGUGAGAAAAAUGAAAAAUGAUAAGAAGACGCCAUUUUUUCGCAGAGCUUUUCUCCGUCGCAAAGGCAAGAAAGAACGGAGAGGGAUUCGGAACGUCGUGUGAACCGGAUCUCGCAUCGCCACCAGCUGUCAAGCCGACAUGUCGUCUACUCCCGUCUUGUAUUCAGCCCUAAUGUCUUUCCGCGAGACACAACGAGCAACAAAAGCAGUACUUGAAAUCAUCAACGGCAAGUUUUGAUACAAUUUGUAUCAGCGCUCACCCUGCCGAAAAUAUCUCUGAAUUCAAUUGCAAAUAAUUUAAAAAAUUAAAAUUACAUAUUUUUCUAAUUUUCAAAAUUAGACAUUUGUUUAAAUAUUGUUUUAAUUUGGACAAAUUAAUUAUUUAUUAUAGCAGUAAUAUUUUUUUGAUUCAAUUCCUUAUGUUUGCUACAAGCAAAGAUUAACAGCAAUUUUGACAAGAGCUGAAAAGACUGCUCAAGUGGAGGGAAAGAAAUUAAGUCGAGAUCUUGAAGGGAAAAAAACGUAGUAGCUGAGUUGCGUACAUUUAUGAGACAUCUCUUUUAUGAUACUAGUAGAUAGUAUCCAUUAGAGAAGUCCGUUGCGCGUCACCGAUGUGUCGCAAAAAAUGUUUAUAAAAAAGUUAUUCCAUUUAUAUAUAUACGCGUAUGACAAGCUAUGCGAUAAUAUUUGUU
This is a non-coding RNA of Linepithema humile (Argentine ant), 1335 nucleotides long. NCBI's taxonomy places the organism in Eukaryota, Metazoa, Arthropoda, Insecta, Hymenoptera, Formicidae. The record is from RefSeq and is a predicted model, not a curated record.